Triticum aestivum (bread wheat) is the source of this 135-nucleotide non-coding RNA. Lineage: Eukaryota; Viridiplantae; Streptophyta; Magnoliopsida; Poales; Poaceae. The record is from Rfam.
GGUCUACUCCCUCCGUUCCGAAUUAUUUGUCUUGGAUUUUUCUAGAUACGGAUGUAUCUAGACUUAUUUUAGUGUUAGAUACCUCCGUAUCUAGACAAAUCUAAGACAAGUAAUUCGGAACGGACGGAGUAGAAG